GCUGUGAGCUCGAUGAGUAGGGCGGGACACGUGGUAUCCUGUCUGAAUAUGGGGGGACCAUCCUCCAAGGCUAAAUACUCCUGACUGACCGAUAGUGAACCAGUACCGUGAGGGAAAGGCGAAAAGAACCCCGGCGAGGGGAGUGAAAAAGAACCUGAAACCGUGUACGUACAAGCAGUGGGAGCACGCUUAGGCGUGUGACUGCGUACCUUUUGUAUAAUGGGUCAGCGACUUAUAUUCUGUAGCAAGGUUAACCGAAUAGGGGAGCCGAAGGGAAACCGAGUCUUAACUGGGCGUUAAGUUGCAGGGUAUAGACCCGAAACCCGGUGAUCUAGCCAUGGGCAGGUUGAAGGUUGGGUAACACUAACUGGAGGACCGAACCGACUAAUGUUGAAAAAUUAGCGGAUGACUUGUGGCUGGGGGUGAAAGGCCAAUCAAACCGGGAGAUAGCUGGUUCUCCCCGAAAGCUAUUUAGGUAGCGCCUCGUGAAUUCAUCUCCGGGGGUAGAGCACUGUUUCGGCAAGGGGGUCAUCCCGACUUACCAACCCGAUGCAAACUGCGAAUACCGGAGAAUGUUAUCACGGGAGACACACGGCGGGUGCUAACGUCCGUCGUGAAGAGGGAAACAACCCAGACCGCCAGCUAAGGUCCCAAAGUCAUGGUUAAGUGGGAAACGAUGUGGGAAGGCCCAGACAGCCAGGAUGUUGGCUUAGAAGCAGCCAUCAUUUAAAGAAAGCGUAAUAGCUCACUGGUCGAGUCGGCCUGCGCGGAAGAUGUAACGGGGCUAAACCAUGCACCGAAGCUGCGGCAGCGACGCUUAUGCGUUGUUGGGUAGGGGAGCGUUCUGUAAGCCUGUGAAGGUGUGCUGUGAGGCAUGCUGGAGGUAUCAGAAGUGCGAAUGCUGACAUAAGUAACGAUAAAGCGGGUGAAAAGCCCGCUCGCCGGAAGACCAAGGGUUCCUGUCCAACGUUAAUCGGGGCAGGGUGAGUCGACCCCUAAGGCGAGGCCGAAAGGCGUAGUCGAUGGGAAACAGGUUAAUAUUCCUGUACUUGGUGUUACUGCGAAGGGGGGACGGAGAAGGCUAUGUUGGCCGGGCGACGGUUGUCCCGGUUUAAGCGUGUAGGCUGGUUUUCCAGGCAAAUCCGGAAAAUCAAGGCUGAGGCGUGAUGACGAGGCACUA
Molecule: ribosomal RNA, 1180 nt
Filed under: Escherichia coli
Lineage: Bacteria; Pseudomonadati; Pseudomonadota; Gammaproteobacteria; Enterobacterales; Enterobacteriaceae
Description: partial 23S ribosomal RNA
Rfam family: Bacterial large subunit ribosomal RNA
Source: RNAcentral